GGUUCGAUCAUGGCUCGAUUGAACGCUGGCGGGGAUGUUUUACACAUGCAAGUCGGAGCAGCAGCACGGACUUCGGUCUGGUGGCGAGAGUGGCGAACGGGUGGUAAUGGUGUAUCGGGACGUGCCUAGUAGCGGGGGAUAACUACGCGAAAGCGUAGCUAUCCGCACUGCCGCCCUUCGAGAAGCGGGGGACCUUCGGGCCUCGCACUAUUGAAGCGGCCGAUCGGAUUGGCUAGUUGGUGGGGUAACGGCUCACCAAGGCGACGAUCCGUAGCUGGUUUGAGAGGACGACCAGCCACACUGGGACUGAGACGCGGCCCAGACUCCUACGGGAGAGGCAGCAGUGAAAUUUGGACAAUGGGGGAAACCCUGAUCCAGCCAUCCCGCGUGUGCGAUGAAGGCCUUCGGGUUUUAGUAAAGCACUUUUGGCAGGAAGAAGCAGUACAAAGGAUAAUACCCCGUGCAACUGACAGUGCCUGCAGAAUAAAACGCGCAGCUCCGGCUAACUACGUGCCAGCAGAGCCAUGAUGGCGAUGGGAUUCAGCGCAGUUAAUCGGAAUACUGGGCGUAAAGCGUGCGCAGGACGGUUCGGAAGAAAGAUGUGAAUCCAGAGCUUAACUUUGGAACUGCAUUUUUAACUACCGAGCUAGAGUGUGUCAGAGGGGAGGUGGAAUUCCGCGUGUAGCUUUGAUGAAUGCUGUGAUAGAUGUGCGGAGGACACCAGCGCCGAUGGCGAAGGCAGCCUCACAGGAUAACACUGACGCUCAUGCACGAAAGCGUGGGGAGCAAACGGGAUUAUGAAACCUGCCCUGGUGCGUCACGCCCUAAACGAUGUCAACCUAGCUGUUUGGGGCCUUCGGGCCUUGGUAGCGCAGCUAACGCGUGAAGUUGACUACUACUGGAAUUUGGUUGCGGGUUUAAGAAACUCUGGGGUGCGAAAAUUUGGGGACCGCCUGAAAGGCAGUGGAUGAUGUGGAUUAAUUUCGUCUUGCGAAAAAAAACCAUUACUACAUAAUGACAUGUCUAGAUCCGAGGAGAUUUGAGGUGCUCGCAAGAGAACCGGAACACAGGUGCUGCAUGGCUGUCGUCAGCCCGUGUCGUGAAUGUUGAGUUGGGAGAUCCGCAACGAAGGCGCAACCCUUGUCAUUAGUUGCUUUACCCGAAGGAGCUCUAUUGAAGUGUUGGGAUUCGUGGUGUCAGGUGCGGAAGGAAGGUGGGGAUGACGUCAGGGCCUCAUGGCCCUUAUGGGUAGGGCUUCACACGUCAUACAAUGGUCGGGACAGAGGGUCGCCAACCCGCGAGGGGGAGCCAAUCCCAGAGAAACCCGAUCGUAGUCCGGAUCCCGCAGUCUGCAACUCGACUUCGUGAAGUCGGAAUCGCUAGUAAUCGCGGAUCAGCAUGUCGCGGUGAAUACGUUCCCGGGUCUUGUACACACCGCCCGUCACACCAUGGGAGUGGGUUUUACCAGAAGUAGUUAGCCUAACCGUAAGGAGGGGGCGAUUACCACGGUAGGAUUCAUGACUGGGGUGAAGUCGUAACAAGAGUAG
This 1547-nucleotide ribosomal RNA is filed under the name uncultured Bordetella sp. RNAcentral describes it as "partial 16S-23S ribosomal RNA intergenic spacer". It matches the Rfam family "Bacterial small subunit ribosomal RNA". Lineage: Bacteria; Pseudomonadati; Pseudomonadota; Betaproteobacteria; Burkholderiales; Alcaligenaceae. The record is from RNAcentral.